RNAcentral lists this ribosomal RNA (573 nucleotides) under Curvularia lunata. RNAcentral describes it as "eukaryotic LSU rRNA". The stretch from base 195 to 348 matches the Rfam family "5.8S ribosomal RNA". The record is from RNAcentral. Lineage: Eukaryota; Fungi; Ascomycota; Dothideomycetes; Pleosporales; Pleosporaceae.
GGGGCCUGCUCUCAAUAUGAGGCUGUACGCGGCUGUGCUCUCGGGCCAGUUUUGCGGAGGCUGAAUUAUUUAUUACCCUUGUCUUUUGCGCACUUGUUGUUUCCUGGGCGGGUUCGCCCGCCACCAGGACCACAUCAUAAACCUUUUUUAUGCAGUUGCAAUCAGCGUCAGUAUAACAAAUGUAAAUCAUUUACAACUUUCAACAACGGAUCUCUUGGUUCUGGCAUCGAUGAAGAACGCAGCGAAAUGCGAUACGUAGUGUGAAUUGCAGAAUUCAGUGAAUCAUCGAAUCUUUGAACGCACAUUGCGCCCUUUGGUAUUCCAAAGGGCAUGCCUGUUCGAGCGUCAUUUGUACCCUCAAGCUUUGCUUGGUGUUGGGCGUUUUUUGUCUUUGGUUGCCAAAGACUCGCCUUAAAAGGAUUGGCAGCCGGCCUACUGGUUUCGCAGCGCAGCACAUUUUUGCGCUUGCAAUCAGCAAAAGAGGACGGCAAUCCAUCAAGACUCCUUCUCACGUUUGACCUCGGAUCAGGUAGGGAUACCCGCUGAACUUAAGCAUAUCAAUAAGCGGAGGAA